Bufo gargarizans (Asiatic toad) is the source of this 444-nucleotide long non-coding RNA. RefSeq lists it as uncharacterized. The record is from RefSeq and is a predicted model, not a curated record. NCBI's taxonomy places the organism in Eukaryota, Metazoa, Chordata, Amphibia, Anura, Bufonidae. The transcript is spliced from 3 exons.
CAGGGCGGCAUCUGCUGAUUUCUCCUGUCUAACAUCGUGUCCCUGCACCCGUCCCCCCUCAUACAUAGAAUGAAAUGGAAACAGUCGGCACUCCUCUUCCGGAAUUGUGGUGCUCGCGCCCAGGUUACAGAAAAAAUGACGAGAUUUGAUGUCCCUAAGUUAUGUGUAGCCUGUAUGAGAUUUAUAUCUCAGGCCCAAUCUAUCUAAAGCUACAAGAUUUAAUGAAAUGUUUAUCAGCAUUGUAACUUUGUUGCAACAAUGUUUGUAAUUGUUGCGCUUGAUGUUUUGUGUAUUUCUGUUUCUAUGGUGAUGCGACCUCAUUAUGUUCGAUGCCGGUAUGGGCGCACUAUUUAAAUGUGUUUCAUGCAGCAAUUUAACAUGCUUGAAAAAGGCUCGCAUUCGAGCCGAAACACGUGUCGCAUCCGCGCUGUGUCUCCUCCAUGC